UCUAUACGUCUGUCUCAAUCUCGGAUUUUGUAUGUUAUCAAUCAGCUCCAAAAAAUCUUCAUCAUCAGUUAAUUCUCCCAAAAAAUCCAUUUUAUAUAAUAUAUAAAUAUGAAUAACUUAUGAUUAAUAUACCAAUAAUGUCAAAAAAAUAUAUAAAUGUCAAUAAAAUGAAGCAUCAAGCUUUAAACAGUCAACAUCGAUGAGUAGACAGUCAACUGAACUGGCUUUGAACCGACAAGGUAUCAGCGUUCAACUGAUCUUGGUUCUGAACUGUAGAUUAAUAGUGAACGAGGUUGGUACAACGCUUAGAACAUUAAUAAGAUUCUAAGGUACAACGUAAUUUUGUCAUUGAACCACAGUCAACGUUGAACUGUUGGUGAACUUGGAAUGUACAAUUGGCCCUAAAUAAUACAGAGAUCAGCGAUGAUGUGGCAACAAAAUGAACUGAAUGUGUAGAUUUACCUACCCUUCUCAAAAAAUGUUUUUCAAUUAGGCACAA
Long non-coding RNA from Harmonia axyridis, 499 nucleotides. RefSeq lists it as uncharacterized. The record is from RefSeq and is a predicted model, not a curated record. Lineage: Eukaryota; Metazoa; Arthropoda; Insecta; Coleoptera; Coccinellidae. The transcript has 2 exons.